This 494-nucleotide ribosomal RNA is filed under the name Coloceras doreyanus. RNAcentral describes it as "partial 16S ribosomal RNA". It matches the Rfam family "Bacterial large subunit ribosomal RNA", at positions 1830 to 2595 of the family's 2925-position model. The record is from RNAcentral. Lineage: Eukaryota; Metazoa; Arthropoda; Insecta; Psocodea; Philopteridae.
UCCUCAAUUAUAUUAUUUGAGGUAGAACCUGCUCAAUGCGAAAAGUAAAUAGCCGCAGUAUUCUGACUGUGCAAAGGUAGCAUAAUAAAUUGGCUUUUAAUUGAAGUCUUGAAUGAAUGGUUUGACAAGGAUUUGACUGUCUUGAAGUGAAAUUUUUUGAAAUUUAAUUGUUCGUAAAAAUGCGGAUAUGAAAGAGAGGGACGAGAAGACCCUAUAGAUCUUUAAUAAACUGGAAAAUUAAGGGUUUUCAGUUUUUUUUAUUUGGGGAAAAUCCUGAAAUAUAAACUUCGGUUAAUUGAUAAAAAUAUAAAUGAUUGAUUUGUGAUCCAUAUAUAUAUAUAUAUAUGAGAGGAUGAAAAAGUUACCUUAGGGAUAACAGGACAAUGAUUUUCUUUAAGAUCUUAUUUAAGAAAACGUUUGUUACCUCGAUGUUGAAUUAAGUUAUCUUACUAAAGAAGAAAUUUUUAUAGNUGGUCUGUUCGACCAUUGAAAAC